RNAcentral lists this transfer RNA (73 nucleotides) under Felis catus (domestic cat). It matches the Rfam family "tRNA". Rfam says of the family: Transfer RNA (tRNA) molecules are approximately 80 nucleotides in length. Their secondary structure includes four short double-helical elements and three loops (D, anti-codon, and T loops). Lineage: Eukaryota; Metazoa; Chordata; Mammalia; Carnivora; Felidae. The record is from Rfam by way of RNAcentral.
GCCUGGCUGGCUCAGUUGGCAGAGCCUGUGACUUUUGAUUUCAGGGUGGUGAGUUCAAGUCCCACGUUGGGUG